UACGAAGGGGGCUAGCGUUGCUCGGAAUCACUGGGCGUAAAGCGCUCGUAGGCGGAUUGUUAAGUCAGGUGUGAAAUCCUGGAGCUCAACUCCAGAACUGCCUUUGAUACUGGCGGUCUUGAGUCCGGGAGAGGUGAGUGGAACUCCGAGUGUAGAGGUGAAAUUCGUAGAUAUUCGGAAGAACACCAGUGGCGAAGGCGGCUCACUGGCCCGGUACUGACGCUGAGGUGCGAAAGCGUGGGGAGCAAACAGG
RNAcentral lists this ribosomal RNA (253 nucleotides) under uncultured bacterium. RNAcentral describes it as "partial 16S ribosomal RNA". It matches the Rfam family "Bacterial small subunit ribosomal RNA", at positions 524 to 776 of the family's 1533-position model. The record is from RNAcentral.